UACGGAGGAUGCGAGCGUUAUCCGGAUUUAUUGGGUUUAAAGGGUGCGUAGGCGGCUUUUUAAGUCAGCGGUGAAAUUUUGCAGCUCAACUGUAAAAGUGCCUUCGAAACUGGUUUCCUUGAGUGUAGAUGAAGUAGGCGGAAUUUGUGGUGUAGCGGUGAAAUGCAUAGAUAUCACGAGGAACUCCGAUUGCGCAGGCAGCUUACUAAACUACUACUGACGCUCAGGCACGAAGGCGUGGGGAUCAAACAGGAUUAGAUACCCCCGUAGU
RNAcentral lists this ribosomal RNA (271 nucleotides) under uncultured prokaryote. RNAcentral's name for it is "partial 16S ribosomal RNA". It matches the Rfam family "Bacterial small subunit ribosomal RNA", at positions 524 to 794 of the family's 1533-position model. The record is from RNAcentral.